UUAAUUGAAGAGUUUGAUCAUGGCUCAGAUUGAACGCUGGCGGCAGGCCUAACACAUGCAAGUCGAGCGGAAACGGCAGUAUUGAAGCUUCGGUGGAUUUACUGGACGUCGAGCGGCGGACGGGUGAGUAACGGCUGGGAACCUGCCCUGACGAGGGGGAUAACCGUUGGAAACGACGGCUAAUACCGCAUAAUGUCUACGGACCAAAGGUGGCCUCUACAUGUAAGCUAUCGCGUUGGGAUGGGCCCAGUUAGGAUUAGCUAGUUGGUAAGGUAACGGCUUACCAAGGCGACGAUCCUUAGCUGGUUUGAGAGGAUGAUCAGCCACACUGGGACUGAGACACGGCCCAGACUCCUACGGGAGGCAGCAGUGGGGAAUAUUGCACAAUGGGGGAGACCCUGAUGCAGCCAUGCCGCGUGUGUGAAGAAGGCCUUCGGGUUGUAAAGCACUUUCAGCAGUGAGGAAGGUAGUGUACUUAAUACGUGCAUUGCUUGACGUUAGCUGCAGAAGAAGCACCGGCUAACUCCGUGCCAGCAGCCGCGGUAAUACGGAGGGUGCGAGCGUUAAUCGGAAUUACUGGGCGUAAAGCGCAUGCAGGCGGUUUGUUAAGUCAGAUGUGAAAGCCCGGGGCUCAACCUCGGAACCGCAUUUGAAACUGGCAGGCUAGAGUCUUGUAGAGGGGGGUAGAAUUUCAGGUGUAGCGGUGAAAUGCGUAGAGAUCUGAAGGAAUACCAGUGGCGAAGGCGGCCCCCUGGACAAAGACUGACGCUCAGAUGCGAAAGCGUGGGUAGCAAACAGGAUUAGAUACCCUGGUAGUCCACGCCGUAAACGAUGUCUACUUGGAGGCUGAGGUUUAAGACUUUGGCUUUCGGAGCUAACGCAUUAAGUAGACCGCCUGGGGAGUACGGCCGCAAGGUUAAAACUCAAAUGAAUUGACGGGGGCCCGCACAAGCGGUGGAGCAUGUGGUUUAAUUCGAUGCAACGCGAAGAACCUUACCUACUCUUGACAUCCAG
Molecule: ribosomal RNA, 1014 nt
Filed under: Salinivibrio proteolyticus
Lineage: Bacteria; Pseudomonadati; Pseudomonadota; Gammaproteobacteria; Vibrionales; Vibrionaceae
Description: bacterial SSU rRNA
Rfam family: Bacterial small subunit ribosomal RNA
Source: RNAcentral